Myodes glareolus (Bank vole) is the source of this 2018-nucleotide non-coding RNA. NCBI's taxonomy places the organism in Eukaryota, Metazoa, Chordata, Mammalia, Rodentia, Cricetidae. The record is from RefSeq and is a predicted model, not a curated record.
UCCAUGCGAACAGAGUCUGUGCAAGCUCCUUCGCCUCGUAAAUUGUUUCCCUUCCCUUUUAUCCGUCCCUGGCCGUGUUUCUUUUUAGGACAGAGGGGAUAUAAACUGUUUGAAGUUCAUCAGCACGGUGAAGUUUUAUUGUAUUUCCGGUCCCCAAGAUUUACGCCCCCGGAGGAGAAGCCGGCUGCCAGGCAGACGCCCUCCUUACCUCCGACUUCCACUACUCCGGAUACGGUGGAUACUGUAGCCGCGAGGCUGCCACUCGCCUUCGGGUGCAGGGAGGGAGCGAGCCAGGUCCAGCCGGCUCCUUCCCAUGCCCGUUCCCAGUGCGGUGCGGGCCCCCUCACCGGCUCAGUUCUUCUUGGAUCUGCUGUCCUGUCCACUCUCCCUUCUCAAGGCUGGGGUUCGUGUACAGUCGGAAGAUUUGACCUUUCAGAGAUGCCUGGGAGUCUGGGUAACCCUGGGGCCCAGGGACUGGCCAGAUGAAACCUGCCCAGGCACUAGGAGCAUGACCAGAGUCCACCCCUUGGUUCCUCACCCUGGCCACCUCCUCCCAGGAAAAGCGCUGUAAAAAAAAGAAAAAAGGGGAUGUUAGAGAGAAAGGAGAAAAUAAACUCUUUGGAAAGCAGAGAGUUUUACAACAGCCAAAGGUUUUAUGGAAGCAAUUGUGUAAUAGCCUUCUACCUGCUCAGAACCCUUUCCGCUCUGCCUGCCGCCCACCCCGUUUGGCCUCCUUGAUCCCUCCUCCCAAAGGACUCAGCCGCCUCCCACUGUCUUGGAUAUCAGUGGUGGCUGGGAGUUGGGAAGAAGAUUACUCAGUCCAGCGGGGCCACUGACCUCUGAUAUCCUAUGAGGGAAGUUUGUCAGAGGUUCUGUUACUUUUCAAUUAAGGUCCUUGCUUGGGACUGUGGAAACACCCAAGUUUGAGCCCCACUGUAUAGAUUGGUGAUCCCUGUUUGAAGGUUAUUUUGGACAAAGAGUGUGGGUCCUGGGAUCUUGGCUUCCCCUCCAAUGUCUAAGGAAACAAGUAUCUUCAAACCUCCCCGUAUUCCAGAGCAGGUCUCGAGGUCAGAAGUGUCUCUGGUGCUGGAGGAUAGAGACUGGGGACUUUAACAAUCUGGUUGUAUGCAAGGGUGUUUUGGCGUGACCGCCACAGUUACCUGAGGACUGUCACGCUCCGUUUGUCUACUUUCCCUUCACACUUGUACAAGACACAAGUAAUGGUAUUUCCACCCCUAUGCCCAUCACUACCAUGAAAUAAGUGUCACACAGUGCAUGCCAUCCCUGCAGGUUGGGGCAAGAUACGCAGUAAAGGAUUUCAUGGUUGGGUAACAAAAGUCACCAAAUUUCAUGACCUCUUCUGGGUCAGUUGGAGGUAUUUCCUUCACCUUCCAGGAAAAUGUUCCGGUAGGACACCGUAAUUAAAUCCAGCUUUACACCACAUACAUUUAUUUGAAGAUGAAAUAUGAAUUUUGCUUGAGUACUAAAUUAAGAGACAAGAUUUCAAGUGAAGCUUCCAAAUCAGUUAAUAUUUUAUAGCCAAAAUUUAGGCACAUGAAUUUCCAGAAUUUUGUCUUCUCCAGGGGUAUGUUGGAUUUUUGGUUUUUUUGUUUGUUUUUGUUUUUUAAUGUGCACACCAACUUUAGGAGCAUAUUUUUAAAAUCAAGAACAGAAUCACCAUUAGUCUACAUUAUUUGCAGGGGUUAUACAUAUAACCACAUAUGCACAAUUAGAUCACAAAUGCCUGUGCCCAGGCACAUCUAGUAUUGCAGUUGGGAAGAUGAUGAUAUAUACUAUACAUGGAUGGAACAGAGCACACUUGAACACUAGGUUCCCCUACAGAAAUAUUGGUUUGAAACAGACAUGCCGGAGAAUUACCUGCUCAAAUCCAGCUGCAUCAAUCUCAGCUUUAGCUUAUUAAUUAAACACAAACUAUCUACUCAUUUACUGUUUUCCUCCCCCUCCCUUUUUAACCCCUAGAUUUUGUCUUAGUACUGAUAGAGCCCCCCCCCCCCAAC